Molecule: ribosomal RNA, 467 nt
Filed under: uncultured Desulfarculaceae bacterium
Lineage: Bacteria; Pseudomonadati; Thermodesulfobacteriota; Desulfarculia; Desulfarculales; Desulfarculaceae
Description: bacterial SSU rRNA
Rfam family: Bacterial small subunit ribosomal RNA
Source: RNAcentral
UUCCUACGGGGGGCUGCAGUGAGGAAUCUUGCGCAAUGGGGGAAACCCUGACGCAGCAACGCCGCGUGAGUGAUGAAGGCCUUCGGGUCGUAAAGCUCUGUCAAGUGGGAAAAACAUCCUCUGGUGAAUAGCCAGAGGGUCUGAUGGUACCGCAAAAGGAAGCACCGGCUAACUCCGUGCCAGCGGCCGCGGUAAUACGGAGGGUGCAAGCGUUGUUCGGAAUUAUUGGGCGUAAAGGGCGUGUAGGCGGUUUGGCAAGUCAGAUGUGAAAGCCCUGGGCUUAACCCAGGAAGUGCAUUUGAAACUGCCAUUCUUGAGUAUGGGAGAGGAGAGUGGAAUUCCCAGUGUAGAGGUGAAAUUCGUAGAUAUUGGGAGGAACACCCGUGGCGAAGGCGACUCUCUGGACCAAUACUGACGCUGAGACGCGAAAGCGUGGGUAGCAAACAGGAUUAGAUACCCCGGUAGUC